Molecule: unclassified non-coding RNA, 525 nt
Filed under: uncultured Microcystis sp.
Lineage: Bacteria; Bacillati; Cyanobacteriota; Cyanophyceae; Chroococcales; Microcystaceae
Description: partial contains 16S ribosomal RNA, 16S-23S ribosomal RNA intergenic spacer, and 23S ribosomal RNA
Rfam family: Bacterial small subunit ribosomal RNA (bases 1-120)
Source: RNAcentral
GUCACGCCCGAAGUCAUUACCUCAACCGCAAGGAGGGGGAUGCCUAAGGCAGGGCUAGUGACUGGGGUGAAGUCGUAACAAGGUAGCCGUACCGGAAGGUGUGGCUGGAUCACCUCCUUAAAGGGAGACCUAAUUCCGGUAGGAGACGAAAAAAAAGUAGUCGCUACCAAGAAUCAAUCCCAAAAGGUCGGAGCGAGGCAAAAUUGGCUUUCAAACUAGGUUCUGGGUUCACACAAGACCUGAAUCAGGAACAAGGGCUAUUAGCUCAGGUGGUUAGAGCGCACCCCUGAUAAGGGUGAGGUCCCUGGUUCGAGUCCAGGAUGGCCCACCUGUACAGGUGGCAAAAACAAGAGAAGCGAGGAAUCAGCACCUUAUCUUACUGACAUAGUAAGAGAGAAUGCUGGCUCUGAGUAAAGAGUCCAGAGGAACCUUGAAAACUGCAUAGAGCUAGGUGAAAAAGCCAAAAAAGAAGACCGCAAGGUCAAGCUAAUAAGGGCUAACGGUGGAUACCUAGGCACACAGAGG